Molecule: long non-coding RNA, 556 nt
Organism: Patella vulgata (common limpet)
Lineage: Eukaryota; Metazoa; Mollusca; Gastropoda; Patellidae
Exons: 5
Source: RefSeq, a predicted model, not a curated record
GUUGUUGAAAUGUCCAUAAGAGAAAGCCACCCAAGAUAUUUAUUUGCUUUAUUCGGGAUUGUUGUAGUUGAGGUUGUUAUCGUAGCUGUAACUGUAGUCAUUUAUAUACGGUAUCGAAGAAGAAAAGCAAAACAUGCAAAGAAAGGGCACCGAGAUAUAAAUUUUAAUACAGCCCAAUCAGGGAAAGAUUACCCGUACAUGAAGUACAGCGAUUAUAAAGUAUGGAGGAAAAACAAUAAUGUGUUGAGUCAGUUUGUUAUGAAUCAUUUUAAUGACGUGAAGACUGGACUGUUACGAACAAAUCUUGUUACUGCUGAUAACCUUAAGGAUUUGGCCAAGGACAACCCAUUUAACGAUGCAAAUAAACUUGUAGACUUGUUAACGGAACGUGGAGAAAAUGCUAUGUCUAUAAUAGUAGAAACCUUCAAAGAGUUUGAUGGACUGCAAGAAAUUGCAGUCAAGCUAGACAAAGACUUGUCUAAAGAUGAAAGAAUGAAAGAUGAAGACUACACACUAUGGACGAAAAAUUACCCAACGCUGGUUUUAAAUGUUAUGG